UAACAAGGAUUCCCCUAGUAACGGCGAGUGAAGAGGGAAGAGCCCAAGAUUGAAAGCUGGCGUCUUCGGCGUCCGCAUUGUAAUCUCAAGAAGUGUUUUCCGCUUCGGACCAAGCCUAAGUCCCCUGGAAAGGGGCAUCAUAGAGGGUGAUAAUCCCGUACAUGGCUUGGAGCGCCCGUAGCUUUGUGAUACACUUUCUAAGAGUCGAGUUGUUUGGGAAUGCAGCUCAAAAUGGGUGGUAAAUGCCAUCUAAGGCUAAAUAUUGGGGAGAGACCGAUAGCGAACAAGUACAGUGAUGGAAAGAUGAAAAGAACUUUGAAAAGAGAGUUAAACAGUACGUGAAAUUGCCAAAAGGGAAGGGUAGGAGGUCAGAGAUGCGGCCUAGGAUUCAGCCUUGCUUUUGCUUGGUGUUUUUCCUAGAUUGCAGGCCAACGUCGGUUUUGGGCACUGGAGAAGGGUGGAAGGAACGUGGCACCUCUCGGGGUGUGUUAUAGCCUUCUACUGGAUACAGCGACCGAGACCGAGGACAGCAGCGUACUCGCAAGAGCGGGCCUUCGGGCACCUUUACGCUUAGGGCGUUGGCAUAAU
Molecule: ribosomal RNA, 588 nt
Filed under: Pseudozyma tsukubaensis
Lineage: Eukaryota; Fungi; Basidiomycota; Ustilaginomycetes; Ustilaginales; Ustilaginaceae
Description: eukaryotic LSU rRNA
Rfam family: Eukaryotic large subunit ribosomal RNA
Source: RNAcentral